RNAcentral lists this ribosomal RNA (460 nucleotides) under uncultured bacterium. RNAcentral describes it as "partial 16S ribosomal RNA". It matches the Rfam family "Bacterial small subunit ribosomal RNA", at positions 338 to 795 of the family's 1533-position model. The record is from RNAcentral.
CCUACGGGUGGCUGCAGUGAGGAAUAUUGGUCAAUGGGCGCGAGCCUGAACCAGCCAAGUCGCGUGAGGGAUGACGGUCCUACGGAUUGUAAACCUCUUUUGCCGGGGAGCAAGCGUGCGUUCGUGAACGCGCGUCGAGAGUACCCGGAGAAAAAGCAUCGGCUAAUUCCGUGCCAGCAGCCGCGGUAAUACGGAAGGCCCGAGCGUUAUCCGGAUUCAUUGGGCUUAAAGGGAGCGUAGGCGGGCGUUCAAGUCAGCUGUAAAAUCGCGCGGCUCAACCGCGCCCCGCAGUUGAAACUGGACGCCUUGAGUUCACAACAGGCAGGCGGAAGUCGUGGUGUAGCGGUGAAAUGCAUAGAUAUCACGAGGAACCCCGAUUGCGAAGGCAGCCUGCCGGGGUGCGACUGACGCUGAGGCUCGAAGGAGCGGGUAUCAAACAGGAUUAGAUACCCUAGUAGUC